RNAcentral lists this ribosomal RNA (400 nucleotides) under uncultured bacterium. RNAcentral's name for it is "bacterial SSU rRNA". It matches the Rfam family "Bacterial small subunit ribosomal RNA", at positions 355 to 745 of the family's 1533-position model. The record is from RNAcentral.
UAGGGAAUCUUGCGCAAUGGGCGAAAGCCUGACGCAGCGACACCGUGUGAAGGAUGAAGGUCUUCGGAUUGUAAACUUCUGUCAAUUGGAGACGAAGGUAACAGGGUUAAUAGCCUCUGUUACUGACGGUAUUCAAUAAGGAAGUCUCGGCUAACUCCGUGCCAGCAGCCGCGGUAAGACGGAGGAGGCAAGCGUUGUCCGGAAUUAUUGGGCGUAAAGAGCGCGUAGGUGGUUUUUCAAGUCAUGUGUGAAAACUUCAGGCUCAACUUGAAGAUUGCACAUGAAACUGGAUAACUUGAGUACAGCAGAGGAAAGUGGAGUUCCUGGUGUAGCGGUGAAAUGCGCAGAUAUCAGGAGGAACACCGGUGGCGAAGGCGGCUUUCUGGGCUGUCACGUGACG